GGAUACAUGGCGCAAUGGUAGCGCGUUAGGCUUCGAUUGCCUCUCCCAACCUAAAGGCUGCAGGUUCGAGUCCUGCUGUGUUCA
This is a transfer RNA of Schizopora paradoxa, 84 nucleotides long. It matches the Rfam family "tRNA". Rfam says of the family: Transfer RNA (tRNA) molecules are approximately 80 nucleotides in length. Their secondary structure includes four short double-helical elements and three loops (D, anti-codon, and T loops). The record is from Rfam. Lineage: Eukaryota; Fungi; Basidiomycota; Agaricomycetes; Hymenochaetales; Schizoporaceae.